AGCGAACGCUGGCGGCGUGCUUAACACAUGCAAGUCGAGUGCGCGCCUGUAGCAAUACAGGUGGCGCACGGCGCACGGGUGCGUAACACGUGGGCAAUCUGCCCUUCGAUGGGGAAUAACCUCGCGAAAGCGAGGCUAAUUCCGCAUAACAUUCCGGGGAUCUCGGUCCUUGGAUUCAAAGCCGCAAGGCGUCGGAGGAGGAGCCCGCGCACGAUUAGCAGUUGGUGAGGUAACGGCUCACCAAGGCUUUGAUCGUUAGCUGGUCUGAGAGGAUGGCCAGCCACACUGGGAACUGAGACACGGGUCCAGACUCCUACGGGAGGCAGCAGUGGGGAAUCUUGCACAAUGGGCGAAAGCCUGAUGCAGCGACGCCGCGUGGGGGAUGAAGCUUUUCGGAGUGUAAACCCCUUUCGACCCGGACGAAUGCCCCGCAAGGGGACUGACGGUACGGGUAUAAGAAGCCCCGGCUAACUACGUGCCAGCCGCCGCCGUAAG
RNAcentral lists this ribosomal RNA (495 nucleotides) under uncultured bacterium. RNAcentral's name for it is "bacterial SSU rRNA". It matches the Rfam family "Bacterial small subunit ribosomal RNA", at positions 28 to 524 of the family's 1533-position model. The record is from RNAcentral.